GGCAAGGUGGCAGAGUGGUUAUGCAGCGGCCUGCAAAGCCGUGGACGUCGGUUCGAUUCCGAUCCUUGCCUC
Molecule: transfer RNA, 72 nt
Filed under: Gammaproteobacteria bacterium
Lineage: Bacteria; Pseudomonadati; Pseudomonadota; Gammaproteobacteria
Also listed under: 1 other name
Description: tRNA-Cys
Rfam family: tRNA
About the family: Transfer RNA (tRNA) molecules are approximately 80 nucleotides in length.
Source: RNAcentral